GCUGUAAAAAUAUCACAAUCAUAUGAUAAUCAAAAGUAAAUAUUUACCACCUUACACAUAUGGGAUUGUUUCCCAUAAUUUAUGUACCUAAUGAUAUAUUAAUUGCGAGAAUCGUAACAGUUUACACACCGUGAUGGGGGCCAACAGCAGCAAGAAGCUUGCAGCGAAGUGCUCCUUCUUGUCGAAGGAUGAGCAGGUCAUAGUGAGCAACUCCUUUCGACUUGCCAGCAAGAAUUCGGAUAGGAUAAAGGAAGAUGAGCUAACA
This is a long non-coding RNA of Nicrophorus vespilloides, 265 nucleotides long. RefSeq lists it as uncharacterized. NCBI's taxonomy places the organism in Eukaryota, Metazoa, Arthropoda, Insecta, Coleoptera, Silphidae. The record is from RefSeq and is a predicted model, not a curated record. The transcript has 2 exons.